GGGAUUAGAUACCCCGGUAGUCCACGCUGUAAACGUUGUGUACUAGGUGUUAGUGGCUUGACCACUAUGGCCGUCGCAAACGCAUUAAGUACACCGCCUGGGGAGUACGUCCGCAAGGAUGAUACUCAUAGUAAUUGACGGGGGCCCGCACAAUCGGUGGAGCAUGUGGUUUAAUUCGAUGAUACGCGUAGAACCUUACCUGGGCUUGAACUGUACUUGAUCGGUGUAGAGAUACACCCUCCUUCGGUCAGGUGCAGAGGUGCUGCAUGGUUGUCGUCAGCUCGUGUCGUGAGAUGUUGGGUUAAGUCCCGCAACGAGCGCAACCCUUACCCCUUGUUGCCAUCAGGUAAUGCUGAGCACUCUAGGGGAACUGUCGGUGAUAAACCGGAGGAAGGUGGGGAUGACGUCAAAUCAUCACGGCCCUUAUGUCCAGGGCUACACACGUGCUACAAUGGCCGGUACAAUGAGUUGCGAGACCGCGAGGUGGAGCUAAUCUCAAAAAACCGGUCUCAGUUCGGAUUGCAGUCUGCAACUCGACUGCAUGAAGCUGGAAUCGCUAGUAAUCGCGGAUCAGCACGCCGCGGUGAGUACGUUCCCGGGCAUUGUACACACCGCCCGUCACACCACCCGAGUUGGCAGCACCCGAAGUGGCUGAUCUAACUUCGUGAGGAAGGUUACUAAGGUGAAGCUGGUGAGGGGGGUGAAG
This 706-nucleotide ribosomal RNA is filed under the name uncultured organism. RNAcentral describes it as "bacterial SSU rRNA". It matches the Rfam family "Bacterial small subunit ribosomal RNA", at positions 774 to 1485 of the family's 1533-position model. The record is from RNAcentral.